This 6334-nucleotide small RNA is filed under the name Pan troglodytes (chimpanzee). Its description in RNAcentral is "processed transcript". The record is from RNAcentral. Lineage: Eukaryota; Metazoa; Chordata; Mammalia; Primates; Hominidae.
UUUUUUUUUUUUUUUAAAUUAGGAUAGCUAUUUGACCAUUUGAAAAUUAAAGACUGCUGAGACAGAGUUAUUUUAGAAUUUUAUUGCCUUUUUUGUGUUGAUUAUGCAUAGGAGUAUGUGUUUUGAUCUGUUAAAUGAAAAACUAGACUGUUUUGAGAAAAGCAAGGUACUCGAAUAAAUUUUAUUAAUUUUUCCGUUCAUUAGGGAGGGCAUUUUUUGCUUGGAAAUAGAUAAUUUAGAUAUAUUUACAUGUUUGGUAUUUGAUAAUGAAUUAUAAAAAGGUUUAGUGACUGAAGCUUUUAAGUAUGCUUAUUUAAAUUUCUAGAGUUGUAACAGUAAAUUUUACCCAUUUUAUAAAGUAGUAGAGAACAGAUACAAGGAAGAGUCCCAAAAGCAUUUUUUUAAAUACUUGGUUUUAAGUCUCCUUUUAUCUUAAUGAUCUUAAGAAUUGGCAGUAGUCAUCAAAGGGGAGGUAACUCAGAAUUGACAUUGUAUUUAAAGGGGAGGCUACCCAGUCCUAAGUGUUUACCACAGUUUCAUACUUAAAAUUGGUGUCGUCAUAAACUGUGGUAAUACUUUGUGAGGCCAUGAGUAUUAGCUGUGCCAAGAUGAUUUACAAAGCAUGUAACGUAUUUUGUUUUAUAAUCAUAAAGUAACUUUCAGUAAGAUGGGAGGCCUAAUCUAUUUUUUAUAUUUUUCGACUUAAUCAUUGAAUAAUAUGAUUUCAGCUACAUUGUGUCGUUCAGGCCAAAUAAAUAUCCUAAUAGUAAUUUAAUCAGAGUUCGGCCCAGAAGGUGCUCUAAGGUCUUAGAAAUCGGGGGUAGUUGCUCUAUUGUCUGAAAGUCUCUGAUGUAUGUAUAUGCUGUUGUUUUUCAAAUUCAGUCAUGUGAAAUAGAAAAUGUUUUUCUAGAUUCCUGCUGUAGCCAUAGCCAUGAUGGAAUGAGUACCCAUUCCAUCAGAGGAACUGGUGGUAGCAAGUCUUAUCUUUAUUUUGCACUUCCCUUUCUGUUUUUUUUUUUUGUCUCUUUUUCUUUUCAUUUUUCUUCUAUCUCCCCUGCCUUUUCAUUUUUUUCUUCUUAUUUACUUUCUUUUUUUUUCUUUUCUUUUUUUUUACCCUCUAUAAUCUUGACUCUUUUGGGACUUUUCUCUUGAUAGAACUUACUCCCUUUUUUCACCUUUGGUUCUAUUUCAUUUCAGCUUGCCUCCCUCCCUCCCUUCCUUCUUUCUUUCUUUUUUUUUUUCUUCCUUCCUUUUUUUUCUUUCUUUUCUUGUUUUCCAAAGGUAACCAAACUAGCAGACAGAAUGCACACAAUCCUAGACCUUGGUUCCAGACCUGGCAUUUUUGCCUGUUUCCUUUGAACAUUUUCCUGUGAUCUUUUUGACCCUGAUUUUUCUCAUCAGUAAGACAAGUGUGACAAUAUCUGCUCUGCUUAUCUCACAAGAUUCUUCUUUGUAUCAAAUAAGAUGAGAGGCAGUACAGGCAGAGAGUACCGGGGUUUAGAACACAGUUCCACACUAACUGGUUACUUGGCUUUGGAUAAGUUAUUAAUCCCCUCUGAUCCUAUCUCCUUAUCUAUGAAAUGGAGAAAAUAGGGUUAUUAUGAAGAUUAGAAAUAGUUCAUGCAAAGCACUUUGCAUAGUCAUGGCUUUUAGUAGGUGCUCACAAAGAUAAUAGAAUAUAAUGGUCACAAAAUUAUGUAAUUGUACUAAGUAAAGAUAAUUCAGAAAUUAGGUACUACAUAAAUGUAAUGUGUCAGCCUGCAUUAGAGUUACUUAACUUUUUUUAAAAAUUCUCAUUCUUAUAUACUUUGUAAAGCCUUUUUUAAUCCUGUUCUUUGUUUCCAUAUCUAUUCUCUUUCUUUUAACCAAUCAUCUUAAUUUUCUUCCUUUAAUUUCUCAUGUUUACUUUCAUAAUCAGUUGUGCCUCUUGCUUCUCUGCCAGCCCCUUCUAUCAGCACAUAUGAAAACACCUUGUAUUUUUUUCUCUCAAACCAUCACAGUUGUUUACACUGUGUUCUAGAAAAGAAAAUGUUCACCAUUAGAAUAUAUUUCUCCUACAGAUUGAAAAAAAUUAGAAGUUGAUUACUGUUUUGAAAAUUGGGCUAAUUCCAGAUGUUUUAAAUAACAUGGCUUUUGUUUUAUUUAAGUUUAUUUUUAUGUUUUAGGGAGGUUUUACAUAAAUGGAGUCCUAAACAAAUAGGAGAACACCUUCUACUGAAAUCCCUAACUUACGUGGUGGCAAUGCCUUUUUAUUCAGCAAGUCUGAUUGAAACAGUGCAGAGUGAGAUAAUUCGAGAUAAUACUGGCAUUUUGGAAUGUGUUAAAGAAGGAAUUGGAAGAGUGAUAGGCAUGGGAGUGCCUCAUAGCAAACGACUUCUUCCGCUUCUUUCCUUGAUCUUCCCUACGGUGCUUCAUGGAGUUCUUCAUUACAUCAUCAGCUCAGUUAUUCAGAAGUUUGUCCUACUAAUUCUAAAGAGAAAGACUUACAAUAGCCACCUAGCUGAGAGCACUAGCCCUGUGCAGAGUAUGUUGGAUGCUUAUUUUCCAGAACUUAUUGCUAACUUUGCUGCCAGUCUUUGUUCUGACGUUAUACUUUACCCAUUGGAAACAGUUUUGCACCGCCUUCACAUUCAAGGAACACGCACAAUAAUUGACAAUACAGACCUUGGCUAUGAAGUGCUUCCAAUUAAUACACAAUAUGAGGGAAUGAGAGACUGUAUCAAUACCAUAAGGCAGGAAGAAGGAGUGUUUGGUUUUUAUAAAGGGUUUGGUGCUGUUAUAAUACAGUACACACUGCAUGCAGCUGUUUUACAGAUUACCAAAAUUAUUUACUCUACACUUCUUCAAAAUAACAUUUGAGAUUUAGGUUCCUUCACUGAGUAGUCUGGAAGAUAUAAUCUGGAUAAUUUGCUAUGAAGUUAUGAGGGAUAAAAGUGAAAUACUGGGGAAGAAAAUGGAUUGGAAAGUAAAAUUGGUACUAAAGCCCAUACUGAUUAUCUUGACUUUGUUUUUUAAGGCAUAGGUAUAUAUUUUGGAUCAAAAUUCUUCCAAAUUUGAAAACUCAAUAAAAAUAACACUUAUUAAAUUCUAGUUAGUGUAGCACUCAUGCUGAAGUAAACAUGAUCGUAGGCAGAAGCAAAAUUUUAUUAUAAAAUCUAAAACAAAACUUUAUAGAGUUGAAUCUAUUCCAUCUGACUUCAAUAUUUGCCAAACGUUUAUUUUACCUCCUAGAUUGAUGUUGGUAUAGUAUCCUUAAUACAGUGUAGUAUAUUAAUGUCCUUAAUACAAUCAGGAGGUUUUUACCUUUAAGCAAAUAAAUUAUGUCAUUAUUGAAAAAGACUUAAGGGAUGAUUAGACUUGGCAAUCUGUAAGCAGGUGUAUAAAUGUUUUAAAUUGCAUUGUCCCUAUGUAACUAUCCUAAUGGCUAUAUAUAUGUAUUUUAUAAAGCCAUUUAUGUAUACACAUGUAACUUGGAAUUUCCUUCAUCCCUACACAUUUUCUACACUUACAUCACCUUAUUGCAUAAAACAAAGUCAUGCGCUUUCUGCUUGAACAUCAAAAUAUCAAAAGCCAAGGUACCCAAAAGAUACAAGUCAGAGACAACAUCCUUGUCCAUAUCCAAACCCAGUGUUUCAGUGCUAGCAACUUAAUUUCUCAUACAUUUAUAGAGUUUGGUUUGCUUUGCUAGUUGUGUGAAUCAUUGGGCUGUUUUUAGAGCCACUGUUAAGAGAGAAUAUAAAAUAAUCAUGACAAUUACUACUGUUUCCACAUUUACAAAUUGUGUACUUAAAUGAACCUCAUUUCCCUUUUAUUUCUGAAUGGCUUGUCUGAGAGGAAACAAAAUUAAAAUUCAUCUGGGAAUUUGUGCCUCUUAUCUACUAUAUAGUCACCACUAAAUAAUGGCUUCCGUUUUUAUUUUCUUUCAGGUUUUGCUUUAAAUUUUGUUUUCCAAAAUAGAUGUACGUGGAGGGAAAAGCAAUUAUUCUUAUCACCUUUUAUUUAAACUUCUUUAGAUGAAUACUGAAGAAAAAUCCAAACCUUAAAGGAAAUGUGCCCUUGUAUUUUAUGGGUGAGGGGAAAAAGUACAUUUGUACAUUUCAACAUAUAAUAAGCAAAAAAAUUACUAACCAGUUUAAUAAAAACAUUUUGUCUAUUCCUAAAUGUAAUUUGGUGGGUUAAGCACUUUGUGUAGUAAAAUGAUAUGUGUCUGCUCUAUCAUUAGACAUUUUAAAGUUUCAUGUCUUCACAUGAAUAAUCACAGUUGUAUCAUGAACCAUUUAGCACUCUGAAGCACAGUGACUUUGCACUGAUAUUGUCCAACCAAGAAUGCAUACGAAUAGAAAUUCAUUUUACUUGCUAAAUGUCACAGAAAUGGUUACUUUUUGCAAAUAGUAGUGUUGGAACAAAAAAGUGAUAUCCAAAAAGUGUAAAAACAGUAAUAAGUAGCAAAUCUCUCGUGUGUGUGGGUGUAGUUACUGAAACACCUACAUUUUCCAUUUUUAAAUUCCACCAAAAGGGGGAAAACAAAAUUAAACACCACUGAUCACAUUUUAUAUUUUAUGGUGACUAUUUUAGAUUAAGGUUUACUUUGUCCAACCAAUAGCAUUUAAAUUGUUUUCAAUUAGGAUAGUUUCAGAUAAGAGUAAACCAGAAAAUUUCAAGUUUGAAAAAUUUCUAGAAAAGAAUCUGAAUAGAAUCAAGUAUUUACUAGUGAAAAUCUGUAGGAUCCUUUGUUUAGCUAAAAAUUAAAUAUUUCAGGAUAUUUUUUGGAAGUUAGCAUGAAAAUAGUUAGUUACAUAAAUUCAUUUUAUUGUAGAAUAAUUAUAAGACCGAUAGGCUGAACCACACACAAAUAAGGUUGAUCUUGUUUUCCUUUUUGGAGAAAGAGAAUACAAAUUAACAUUAAAAUUGAAAUGUAGAAAGUAAAAUAUGAAUAAUUUUUUACAACCACUCCAAAUUAGUUGAAACAAAAUCUUGAACAGUCACGCACUUAAAUUUAAGCUAGCCAAAUAUGUUGCACUGAAUUUUGAAAAGAAUGAGUGAGAUAACUGUAAGAUACGCUCGUUCCCUUUUAAAAAUUGUUGUUUUUCUUUAACAUGGGUGCCAAAUAUGUUGCACUGAAUUUUGAAAAGAAUGAGUGAGAUAACUGUAAGAUACGCUCGUUCCCUUUUAAAAAUUGUUGUUUUUCUUUAACAUGGGUGCCAAAUCAAAUAUCCAUGGGCUAUACUUCUUAAGAUAAUAACAGCUCAAAAUAAUAUUUUUUAAUUCAGUAGAACUAAUAGCUUUAUGGAAAAGAUUCUAUUAAAUGUUCCACAGGCCCACUGGUCCUCUUAUAUAAGCCAAAUUUUGGCCAUGGAGCUUGUGAUACACUUGCCUUACAUUGUAGGGUUUCUUAAUUUGAGUCAAGUACACUGAAAGCAAUUAAAAACUGGUAAAUAUUAAUUUACUAUGUAAAGUGAACUUACGAAUUAACUUACUAAAUACAUAUAUGUAGACCUUCCCGAAAUGCCAUUCUCAAUUUUAUUUUAUGGGCUCUAAAAAAAAUUAUCUGGGUUAAUAAGGUUAUCUAUUAAAGCCCCCAGAAUCUCAGCACUAGAUGUUAUAAAUAUGAAAUGGUAAAAACAAGGUCACUUGAAAAUGGGUAUUUGAUACCUUAGCUGGUGUUUUCAGAAGCAUACAGAACUGGAAAGGUAAGAACUUGCUUACUAUUGCAGAUAUACCUGACCACUCACAACUGUCUUUUUAGCAGCGGCUUUCUUAAAACUGCACAAAGCAUUCACUUUAUUGAUUGAGUACAAAUGCUUUAGUGUUUCUACCUAAGUAUUAGUACAUCUGUUCAGGAAAUGAAAAAAAAAUGCUGCUUAAAUUUGUUUUAUCAACUGAGGUUGUGGAGGAUUUUUGUCCACUGAUCUUUUGCAACAGAAAAGCAUACUUUGUCAGCUUCUAAUAAGAUAGCCAGGUUUGAAUUAUUUGCAAAAUUUAUAUAAGCAAAUAAGAUCUCUUGGUAACAAUUCACAUUGCACUAGAAUUUGAAUGAUACUGUUGUUGGCAUUUCUGUUUCUCUUUCAAGUAGUUGUAAAUAAUCUCUUUUUCUCAUAUAAACGGAAUGCAUAAUGUCUUACUCUUGAGUCAUUUAGUAUCAUUGAUAUGGUACCAAGUUGUAUAGCAGAGUAACAAAAUCAUGAUUUGACAAUGAAAUUUACAUAUUGCCUCACCUAGAGAUGUUUUGUCUGUAUGACUUUUUUUUUUUUUAAAGUUUGUCUUACUGUUACUUUAAAUGUUUUGGGUAAAUUGUGUAAAAUGAAAAGUUCAAUAAAAUGUUGAAAUAAAGCCA